RNAcentral lists this ribosomal RNA (465 nucleotides) under Vreelandella stevensii. RNAcentral's name for it is "partial 16S ribosomal RNA". It matches the Rfam family "Bacterial small subunit ribosomal RNA", at positions 338 to 795 of the family's 1533-position model. The record is from RNAcentral. Lineage: Bacteria; Pseudomonadati; Pseudomonadota; Gammaproteobacteria; Oceanospirillales; Halomonadaceae.
CCUACGGGUGGCAGCAGUGGGGAAUAUUGGACAAUGGGGGGAACCCUGAUCCAGCCAUGCCGCGUGUGUGAAGAAGGCCCUCGGGUUGUAAAGCACUUUCAGUGAGGAAGAACGCCUGGUGGUUAAUACCCAUCAGGAAAGACAUCACUCACAGAAGAAGCACCGGCUAACUCCGUGCCAGCAGCCGCGGUAAUACAGAGGGUGCGAGCGUUAAUCGGAAUUACUGGGCGUAAAGCGCGCGUAGGUGGCUUGAUAAGCCGGUUGUGAAAGCCCCGGGCUCAACCUGGGAACGGCAUCCGGAACUGUCAAGCUAGAGUGCAGGAGAGGAAGGUAGAAUUCCCGGUGUAGCGGUGAAAUGCGUAGAGAUCGGGAGGAAUACCAGUGGCGAAGGCGGCCUUCUGGACUGACACUGACACUGAGGUGCGAAAGCGUGGGUAGCAAACAGGAUUAGAUACCCGAGUAGUC